This is a ribosomal RNA of 436 nucleotides. It matches the Rfam family "Bacterial small subunit ribosomal RNA", at positions 341 to 792 of the family's 1533-position model.
ACGGAAGGCAGCCGUGGGGAAUAUUGGGCAAUGGGCGCAAGCCUGACCCAGCAACGCCGCGUGAAGGAAGAAGGCUUUCGGGUUGUAAACUUCUUUUGUCAGGGACGAGGAAAAGACGGUACCUGAUGAAUAAGCCACGGCUAACUACGUGCCAGCAGCCGCGGUAAUACGUAGGUGGCAAGCGUUGUCCGGAUUUACUGGGUGUAAAGGGCGUGUAGCCUGGUCGGCAAGUCAGAUGUGAAAUCCAUGGGCUUAACUCAUGAACUGCUUUUGAAACUGUUGAUCUUGAGUAUCGGAGAGGCAAUCGGAAUUCCUAGUGUAGCGGUGAAAUGCGUAGAUAUUAGGAGGAACACCAGUGGCGAAGGCGGCUUGCUGGACGAUAACUGACGCUGAGGCGCGAAAGCGUGGGGAGCAAACAGGAUUAGAUACCCUUGUA